UUUCCGUAGGUGAACCUGCGGUAGGAUCAUUCAUAAUAAGUGUUUUAUGCCACUUUUUUCAUUCCAUAUCCACCUUGUGUGCCAUGUCAGGGUUGAUUUUUAUCUCGACAUGAUCAGCCCCAAACAUCAACUAUAUCUCAACUCUUUGUCUGAAAAAUAUUCUGAAUAAAACAAUUCAAAAUACAACUUUCAACAACGAAUCUCUUUGCUCUCUCAUCGAUGACGAACGCAUCAGAACAGAAGAACACCCAUCUUAACUCCAUUCACUCAUACACAACC
Molecule: unclassified non-coding RNA, 279 nt
Filed under: plant metagenome
Description: partial contains small subunit ribosomal RNA, internal transcribed spacer 1, and 5.8S ribosomal RNA
Source: RNAcentral